CCUGGUACGGCCGGGGCUGCCGCCGGUUCCUGAUACGGCCGGCGCAG
This 47-nucleotide non-coding RNA is filed under the name Streptomyces sp. NRRL F-5053. Its description in RNAcentral is "L17-Actino-Proteobacteria ribosomal protein leader". It matches the Rfam family "L17-Actino-Proteobacteria ribosomal protein leader". The record is from RNAcentral. Lineage: Bacteria; Bacillati; Actinomycetota; Actinomycetes; Kitasatosporales; Streptomycetaceae.